GCCGAGAAGGGCACGAAAUGUCCGAAAAGAGAACACCUCGAAGGUAAUUAAUCCAAUGUUCCCAUUGCGGGGGCCUCUCCUGACCCCAUUUUUCUCCUUCCGGAGCGCUCCGCAGACCGCUGGCAAGGGAGGGCGCGCCAAGCCAGAGCCCAAGGCGCCCUCCAAGAACGCGCGCUACUUGGAAUCCCCCUCCCGGAAACCCGCAAAGCUGGAAAGCACCUCAUCUCAGCCCCUCAUUGCACCAAUAAGGAAGUAGGUCCCAGCGAAAAGAGGCGGCAGGGGCGGAACACACGAGCGACAGAGCUACCGAUCAGUCCUUGAAAGAUGGGAAAGAGCACUGAUAAUCGCAGAAACAAAAGUGAUCCUUCACCAAAGGUGGCUUGAGAAGCACAGAGGCCUCAUCAGUAGCCUAAGAACAAUGAACGGAAGAGACAUAUGCGGCCCAAUAACAGGAAAUACACUCUGGGACUUCCCUGGUGGUGCAAUGGUUAAGAAUCCGCCUGCCAAUGCAGGGGACACCAGUUCGAUCCCUGGUCCGGGAAGAUCCCACAUGUCACGGAGCAACUAAGCCUGUGCGCCACAACUACUGAAGCCUGCGCACCUAGUACCUGUGCUCUGCAACAAGAGAAGCCACCGCAAUGAGAAGCCCAUGCACCACAACGAAGAGUAGCCCCUGUUCACUGCAACUAGAGAAAGCCCACGUGCAGCAACGAAGACCCAACACAGCCAAAAAUAAAAAUAAAUAAAUUAAUUAAAAAAAAAAAUUGUUAAAAAAAAUCACACACACACAGAAAAAGGUAAUACACUCUGAAACAUUUAGGGGUAAAGGGGCAUAAUGUCUGCAACUUCCUCUCAAAUGAUCAUAUGUAUAUGUUUAUAUAUAAAAUUAUACAUAAUACAUAAUAUACAUAUUAUUAGAUGUGCAUGAUUAUGGAGCAAAUAAGGGCAAUAAGGCAAAAUGUUAACAAUUGAUGAAUUAGGUAAAGGGCAUAUAGCAAUUCUUAUAUGAAAAUAAAAAGUUAUUUAAAAAAUAAAUA
Balaenoptera ricei (Rice's whale) is the source of this 1037-nucleotide long non-coding RNA. RefSeq lists it as uncharacterized. NCBI's taxonomy places the organism in Eukaryota, Metazoa, Chordata, Mammalia, Artiodactyla, Balaenopteridae. The transcript has 3 exons. The record is from RefSeq and is a predicted model, not a curated record.